Molecule: long non-coding RNA, 1461 nt
Filed under: Parus major (Great Tit)
Lineage: Eukaryota; Metazoa; Chordata; Aves; Passeriformes; Paridae
Description: lncRNA (ENSPMJG00000015876.1)
Source: RNAcentral
CUUAACAUGUGUGCGCUUUAGAAUAUAACUAUAUAUGAUCACAUACAGAAAUUUCUAGAAGUGAGUAAAAAAUUGCCUGAAAACAUAUUCUAUGUAGCAAUAGGAAACAGUUAGAUAUCAUGUACAUGUAAAAGUAAUGGGGACUUCUAAGCAGGCAGAGCACAACUAUUUGUUUUGGAGUUCAGCCAGAAAACAGGAGUUAGCUCCUUUGCUUUAAACCUUAGUGAACAUGUGUAGGGAUGGCUGUGUGGUAAAAAUUAAAACUGCAGGCUCAGUGCUAAGGUGUAUCACUUCCAGUAACCAUAGAUCAGGAAGAUAGGUCACAUUGUACCAUCUCUCUGAGCUCUGUAUAGGUUUAUUUUUAACUUGUUACCAGAAUUUUGCAGCACUGGGUGCAGACAAAGGGAAAAAAUCCUGACUAUUAGUGCAGAGCAUUUUUUUCCUAGUGGGUAUUUUGUAACUAUCUUUGGUGACAAGUGAUAGGCUCUAAUCCGGGGCUUUGGUGGGGUGGACAGUCUUAAGAGCCUUAAGAGUAAAAAAUGAUUUUCACACUCAGCAUUAUGUUAUUUCCAGGUUUUGAUUCUGAGUCUUAAGAGAUUGGGAAAAGAUAGAGGGGAAAAAUUGUAUUGCAAAAUUACAAAAAUUAAUUUGACAUGAUAAAGAAAUUUUUCUUCUUGGUUAUGUGUUUCUACUGCACUUCCUCAUUUUGUAAAAAUACGUUUCUUUUGCUUUUCAAAUAUGUUUGGCUUGCAUUUCAGAUUUCACUGUGUGACAUGGAUGGAAACAAUCCUGAGCAUGCAAUUGCAUCAGGUCACAUCUUGACCUUCACAUUACACAUCCUUGGCAGUCACUUGUAUGACCUUGUCAGAUUUAAAAACAUAAUGUUAGAAAAGUCAUCCUUGGACAGGAGAAGAAAAAAUCUAAACAUGCAGAAAUGCAAGAAUACCAAUGUAAAAUUACAAUACAGCUGGAUCAGAGGAAGAGAGAUUUUCUUGUGUGAAUUUGUCCUUCAAACUGCUGAAAUCCCUGCACGAGUCCAACAUCAGAGUGUAAAAUUAAACAUGUUCUUGCCAUGAAUGCUGUGUUACAUCUGUUUAUUCUUUCUUUUUAAAAAAGAUGAAAUUGUUCAGCGUAUUAAAAAUGUAUGUCUUUGUAGUUCUAUUGUAGUUCUAUAUCUUGGUAUGAAGAAUCUUGCAGCAGCAUCUAGUAUUUUACAAAAUUGUAGUCACAUUUACUUAAUUUCUAAAGGCUUAUAGUGUGAAAUUUAAAUGAAUUUAUGCUGAUAUUUAUCAUACUAUACAAAGAAAAAUACAUUUCUGCACUUUUAUAAAGAAAUUAUAAAGAGCAGCUUAAUCUGUACCUGAAAGUCUAUCUGCAGGAAUUACACUUGUUCAAGAUUAUUAUGUAUUCAUAGAGAAACUAUAGACUUAAUUGAAUUGCAUUUGUAAACAAUAUUUCUAC